CAAGAGUUUUUGUAAUAUCCAUCUUUUUCCUAACCUGUUCCCUUGAGUACAACAAGUUAGAAAAUCCAUUCCACAAUAUUCUCAUAAGAUUUGCAUUUUUUACAGCUUAAUUUAAUUUUCAAUUUCCACCAACACACGAGGGAAAGAAAAUCCAACUUUUACCACCAUAGACAACAAAAAUCAAUUACAUCUAUUUACCUUACAC
RNAcentral lists this long non-coding RNA (205 nucleotides) under Gossypium raimondii (Peruvian cotton). RNAcentral describes it as "long non-coding RNA (GRAI_LNC004858)". The record is from RNAcentral. Lineage: Eukaryota; Viridiplantae; Streptophyta; Magnoliopsida; Malvales; Malvaceae.